UGGGAAGGCCAUGACAACCAGGAGGUUGGCUUAGAAGCAGCCAUCCUUUAAAGAAAGCGUAACAGCUCACUGGUCUAAAUAAGCCGUCCUGCGCCGAAGAUGUAUCGGGGCUAAAGUCGUGUACCGAAGCUGUGGAUUUGAUCUUCGGAUCAAGUGGUAGCGGAGCGUUCCGUAAGCCUGCGAAGGUGACUCGCGAGAGUUGCUGGAGGUAUCGGAAGUGAGAAUGCUGACAUGAGUAGCGACAAACAGGGUGAGAGACCCUGUCGCCGAAAGACCAAGGGUUCCUGCGUAAAGCUAAUCUGCGCAGGGUUAGCCGGCCCCUAAGGCGAGGCCGAAAGGCGUAGCCGAUGGGAACCACGU
Molecule: ribosomal RNA, 360 nt
Filed under: Alexandrium margalefii
Lineage: Eukaryota; Dinophyceae; Gonyaulacales; Pyrocystaceae
Description: partial Bacterial large subunit ribosomal RNA
Rfam family: Bacterial large subunit ribosomal RNA
Source: RNAcentral